Molecule: ribosomal RNA, 119 nt
Filed under: Pteropus alecto (black flying fox)
Lineage: Eukaryota; Metazoa; Chordata; Mammalia; Chiroptera; Pteropodidae
Source: RNAcentral
GUCUAUGGCCAUGCUACCCUGAACAAGCCAGAUCUUGUCUGAUCUCAAAAGCUAAAUAGGGUUGGGCUUGGUUAGUACUUGGAUGGGAGACCACCUAGGAAGACCAGGUGCUGUAGGUG